Molecule: long non-coding RNA, 8347 nt
Organism: Equus asinus (donkey)
Lineage: Eukaryota; Metazoa; Chordata; Mammalia; Perissodactyla; Equidae
Source: Ensembl
UUUACUGGGUUCUCAAAAAAUGCUCAGCAUUGGGAGCACAGAAGCUUCCAGUCCAGGGAACUGCCGACCAGCUGUGUGACCUUGAAGAGGUGACCUCACCUCUCUGAACCUCCAUUUUCGUAUCCUUAACCUUCACAUGGCCGUGGGUUGGAUUCAGCCAGAGAGGCAGGGAAGCAUUGUGGUUAGAGCUGGAAUCUGACUCCUCCACUCACCCCUGGGGACAGUUACUUCACUUGCAGUGCUCCGGCGUCCUCAUCUGUCCAAUGGGGAGGACAACAUGCUUUCCUCCUACGGCUCCUUGAGGCUUAACUGUGUUAACGCACAGUCACGCAUCGCUUAACGAUGCCAAGUCAUUCCCACCUUAAAAACACACAAUUCUCUUGACCCACCUCCGCCUCCACCUCCAGCCCCAUCCUAGGCCCUUUCUCCCCCUUCAGGCGUAAAAUUCUUGAAAGAAUGAACUUUCUCCGUUUCCUUACCUCCACUUAUUCCUUACCCUGCUCCGCUAUAGGUCCUGCCCCCUUGGCCUCUCAAUGGUUCCUUUAGGGCAGCCUUCUCAACCUUGGCUCCAUGUGUUGUGCGUGCAUGGAUGCGUGUGUGUGUGUGUGCUACGCAUGCACACAUGUAUUUUAAAGCAGCAGAUAAUUUAAAACAAAGCAAAACAAGGAACCUGGGCCCGGGCCCACCUCCAAGGAUUAUGAUUUAAUUGACCUGGGGUGGGCCCAGCGUGGAUAACUUUCCAGAGCUUCCCGGAGGCUCCUAAUGGGUAGCUGGGUUGCGAACCCCUGCCCCAGGGGUCCCAGCAUCCUGUGGCCUUAGCCCCAGGGACAUGUUUCUGCUCUCCUACCCUCCACCUCUGGCAGAAACCGACCGUAUUCGUUUCCUGUAGCUGCCGAAACAAAAUACCACACAUCAGGUGACUUAAACCAGAACCAUUUUCUCACAGUUCUGGAGGCUGGAAGUCCAAGAUCAAGGUGUCGGCAGGGCCACAUUCUGAGAACUGCGUCAUUAGGCCAUUUCAUCACUGUGCAAACAUCACAGAGUGCACUUACACCAACCUAGAUGGCGGAGCCUACUACACACCCAGGCUCCAUGGUCCCGACCUUACGGCACCGCCAUCACCUACGUGGUCCAUCAUUGCCAGGAACGUUAUGUGGCACGUGACUGUAGUGUGCUUAGACCAGUGCUUGACGUGUAGUAAAUACUAAAGCCUCAACUCAGAAUCCUUCAUUCACCAAACUGUCGCGGCCCUGCUGGCGGUAGGAAUGCAGAGGUAAGACAAAGGGACACAGUCCCCCUCCUGUGACGCCUACAGUCCAGAAAGGGAGACAUGAAGUGUCACAUUGAUAAAUGUACAAUCACGAGCCAAGACAAUCCCUCAGGAUGUGCACACACGGUCCUGAGAGAGGUAACAAACAAAAGGACUGACCCAGCCAGCGGGCCAACAGUGGCUUCCCGAGAAAGCAGAGCUCGAGCUGAGAUCGGAAGGAUGGAGAGGGGCCAAGUGGGCAGAGGUGAGGCGGAGGCAGGAAGGACAUCCCAGGCAGAGGGAGCAGCGUGUGCAAAGGUCGUGUGGUGGGAGAGGACGUGCGUGUGAGGAACUGAAGCACGGGUUCAGAGAAGGGAGGGCCGUGUGGGCCUCGAGGAGCAGGUGGGUUUUCUCCUGAGCAUGCAGAGAAGCCACGACGAGGUGUGAAGCUGAAGAGGACGACUCGCAGUGAGACCAGAGAGGCUCCUGCGGGCAAGUUUAGGAGAGGUGACAGUGCCUCGGACCAGGGUGGCGAGGCGGAUGUGGAAAAGCAGGUGGACAGGAGCGUCUAGGAUGAAGCUUCAGGCUGGACCCGAGUGGACAGUGAUUCCCACGCUGAGUCAGAGAACUCGGGAAGAAGACCCAGUGCAAAGGGCAUCAGGAGGGGUGGGGUGCAGGGAGAGGCACGAGCAGUUACACAGGGAUGCCUGUGAGACCUCCAAACGGAAAGGGAGGGAGCCAAUGGACAUGAGGGUUUGGAGCUCUCAGGGAGACUGAGGCUGGAGAUGUAGCAAGAACAUGGAUGACUGAGGCUGUGGUCUCGAGUGAGCUCACCCAGGAGGGCAUGUCGAGGAAAGGGCCUGGGACAAAGCCUUGAUGAGCGCCAGCACCCCAUGGCCUUACAGAGGAGAGGGAGCCCUGGGAAGAGUUGCCAGAGAGGCGGGAAGGAAACUGGAGCGUGUGGCGCGCAGAAGGCAAGGGGCCACCAGGUUUCAAGGAGGAGUGGCCCCCCGCGAGGUGUAGGCUGAAUGGUAGCCCCCCAAAGACGUCUAUGUCCCAAUCCCCAGAACCUGAAUUACCUUAGGAGGCAAAAGACGUGAUUAAGAAUCUCGAGAAGAGUUUAUCCGGAUUAGCUGGGUGGGCCCUGCAUGCAAUCUCCUGCCUCCUUAUGAGGAGGGCAGGCUGUUUGAAACCCACACACACAAGAGGAAGCAGCAACGGGACAGGAGGCAGACUGGAGCGAUGCUGCCAAGGAACGCCCAGAGUCCCGAGAAGCUGGAAGUGGCACCGAGUCGAUUCUCCCCCAGAACCGUGGACUUGAGCCUUCAGAACCGACAGAAAAUAAGUUUGUUGUUUUAAGCUGCUCAGGGUGUGGUCAUUUGUUACAGCAGCUACAGGAAACAAAUACCGUUGGUUCCUGCCAGGGGUGGAGGAGGAGGAGAGCAGAAACGUCCCUGGGGCUAAGGCCGCUGGGCACGGGGACCCCGGGAGGAGUUCUCCACCCAGAGGCCCAUCAGGAGGCCUGGGGAAGCUUCACAAAGUUACCCAUGCUUGGGUUCACCCCAGAUCAAUUAAAUCACAAUCCUUGGAGGUGGGCCUGGGGACAUGUUUUUUUGUGGUGUUUGUUUUUUGGGGUUUUUUUUGAGGAAGAUUAGCCUUGAGCUAACAUCUGCUGCCAAUUCUCCUCUUUUUGCUGAGGAAGACUGGCCCUGAGCUAACAUCCAUGCCCAUCUUCCUCUACUUUAUACGUGGGACGCCUACCACAGCAUGGCUUGCCAAGCGGAGCCAUGUCUGCACACGGGAUCCAAACUGGUGAACCCUGGGCCGCCGAAGUGGAACGUGCGCACUUAACUGCUGCGCCACCAGCCAGCCCAUUUGUUUUUUAAAUAAUCCACUUUAAAAAUAAAAACAGGGGGCCAAGUUGAGAACCACUGCCCUAGAAUCAUUCCAGAGGCCGGAGGGGACAGAACCCACACUGGAGCAGGGUAAGAAAACGGAGCCAGUUCAGACCACUCUUUCAAGAAUUUCACCCCUGAACGCGGAGAAGGAACCUGGGAUGGGGCUGGAGGUGGGUGUGGGUCAAGAGAGCUGUGUCUCAAGGUGGGAAUGACUUGAGCACGUUUAAACGUCGAUGGGGAAGACGGAAGCUGGGUGAAGAGCUGCGUGACGUCACUGAGCAGCCAGGAGAAGUCAGAAGGUGAAAAUCAAGCCUGGCGGCAGAGCCUCGGAGUAGGAAAGUCAGGCAAUGAAUCGGGGCGGUUGUCUCUGCUGCCCUGCCCUGCCCCCUGCAACUCGGUGGGCCUCCAUGGCUCCUCCUGGCCAAAGCAUUUAGAUGCCAAUGCCAGACUCCCCAGAGCCCUCUCUCCACUCUGGCACAGCGACUGGCAAUGUUCAGGAUGGUGUCACCCAUCUGACUGGGUCCCCGAAUGACUGAGGAAGAGAAACCCCACUGAAGGCCUGUGAUGGGCACACGGUGUGAGGAAACGACGCCUACCUCAGCUGUUUGAGGCCCUGCGGAUCUGGGAAUGUUGGCUACCGCAGCGCACCGCAGCCUAUCCCGCCGACAACAAGCAAACACACCUCUCUGAACUCAUAGUUAUAGAUCAUGCUGGGAAAAUGCACCAAGUGUCAUGAGAAAAAGAAAACAUCCACAGAAGGGGGGCGAUUUAGAAAGUGUGUCCAGAAAAGAUCACUUUGAGAAGGAGACAAAUAGAGGAAGAGUUAGUGUCAGGGAGAAGGAAGGAGGGAGAGAGAAUGGUUCCAGGCAGAGGGAGCUGCACGUGCUAAGUGUCUGGAUCAGGGAGCUGUGAGGGAAACGGCUCGAGCGCAGAGAAUGAGGUUGGUGGCGAGAGAUGAGGCCAGAGAGAAAGUCAGGGAGAUCUCACGGGUCACACUUAAGGAAUCCACUAGAGUUUUAAAAUGGGGAGUCACCUUUUAAAAGCUUUUUCUGGCUGCUGUGUGGAGAAUGGGUUGGAGGGAAGCCAGAGCAGAAGGCAGAGAGCUGAGGCGGCGGUGCAGAGGGAGACAAGGGUGACAGGGAGGCACAGUGGCGCCAGACACGGUAGGUGCUCAGUACAACGAGCUCAGCGGUGUGUGGCGCACCUGGGCAGACGGCAAGCACCUAGGACAGUGCCUGGCACAGCAAAAGUGCUCAGUAGGUGUUGAAUGACCAAGUGUUGGUUUCCUCCUCUCCCUGUUAGCCGUCAGCAGUGCUGCGUCCUCUCCCUGCUCUGAGGAAGGGGCUGACCUACCCCCUCGGGCCUCGCAGAGAACCUGGUCAAGGCAGAGUAGCCAGGGUUUCUUGACCAGCCCCCAUAACCUGGGCACCGCACUCAGAACCUGGAUGAGCCAUGGGGGCCCACUUUCAGGCAGAUGUCCCCUCCCCUUCUCCGCCCUGCUCUUGGCAAUGAGCUGGGCAGUGCUCUCAUGCCCCUGUGGCCUCGCUGCAGACUUUUGGGGCGAGGUCAGAAGACAGAGCAGCCCCAGGGCUGACAAAUUGUUUCAGCCACACCUCCUCCAGGAAGUCCUCUGUGGUCAGCCACCGGGGCUCCUGUAGCUCCGAGGUGCAGAGCUGAAGGGGCCCGCAGUCCCUUGGGGCCUCCUGCUGACUCAGGGCCUGACUGAGCUCUCAGCUGCCGCUGCUGUGAGCUUCCCCAGAGGUUUCAGGAAGGCAAGGUGAGUCUUCACCAAGGGGGACAUCCUGCGUGGCAACAGCCUAGGAACUCAGCACAGUUAUCCAUUUUAUAGAAGACUGAGGCUCGGAGAGAUGAAGGAACUUGCCCUAGAGCCCGGUCAGUAAGCUGUUUGACCCUAAAGCCAGAGGCCACAAUCGCACGCGAUACACUCCCUUCCUCCUGCACAUCAGUGCUGAGUCAGUGCUGCUCAAAUCUAAGCAGACUGAUGAGUAAACAGGUGGAGGAUGUUGAUGGAUGGCAGCUAGCAUUGGCGGGCCCCCUGCCCCCGGCCAGGCCUGCACUUGGUGUUUUACGUGGGGUGAAUACGAGUAUGAUUCCCAUUUUACAGCCGGGAAAUUGAGGCACAGAGCAGUUAAGUAACUCACUCAAGCGCCCCCCAGCUGAAAAGUGGGCCCAGUCAGCCUGGCCCCAACUAGUUUCAGUUCCUUGCUGUUCUCCUUCCGUGGUCACAAGGACACCAGAGGUUCUUUCUUUCUCCAUCCUGCUGCUCUGGGGCCUCAGAGCCCUAGGGGAUGCGGGUGAGCCUGCCCAACACUCGGGUCGGUACAGACUCAAACUUCACUCCUUCCCAAAGCCAGGCCCCGGGCCUACCCUCCCCUGCCCCAGGGGCACCCCCUAGGACAACUGGGCAAGUGGACAAGUUUCUCCCAGCUCACAGGGCCCCUUCCUGCCCGAGCCAAGCCCACCCUGAGGCCGGAUGUGGAAUCAGGAGGCUGGCUGGCCCCCCCGCCUCACUGUGUGACCACAGACACCCCACUUCCAUCACCCACUGCAGCCCGGGGGAGGGAAUGUACACACCUGAGGGCCUGCUGCUUGCCAGCCAGUCAGCACAUCGAUUCCCCCGGGACCCCAGGACCUUGGUUUUAUCAGCCUAUUUCACAGAGAAGGGAGCUGGGGUUCAGGGAAUUGUCCACCUGAGCUCUCAGCUGCUAAGAGCCAGGAAGGGAUCCAGUCUCAGUCCAUCUGAAGCCCAAGGCCACCCUGAUUCUAACUCCUGCCCCCACACCCACCCCAAAGCGCAGUGGCAAAUCAGCAAAGUUAACAGCUUCGACUUGAGUUUUAGGGAGAUCUGGGUUCACAUCAAGCUCUGCAAGCUCUGCUGCUUUCCGGCUGUGUGACUGGCAAGUUCCUUCCCCUCUCUGAGCCUCAGUUUCUUCAUAUGUAAAUGAAGAUGAUAGGACCCACUUCAGAGGACGGUUGUGAGCAGUGAGGGAGUUAAUAUAUGCAAAGCAAUCAGAACAGCACCUGAUUCGGAGCAAACAUUCAAACAUGAGAAAGAAGCAAGUACACUGGGACUUAGCUCCCACUCGCCUCUGCAUCAGGAAGGGGCAGUUUUGAGACCCUGCGGUUCUGACCCGAGCCAGCUCACUCGCCAGUCCACAGCUUCGAGGCUCUCAGCUUUUGAGCAGCCUUGGGCAGGUCACUUCGCUUCUCCAGCUCAGUUCCCUCAUCUGUAGAUGAGAUGAAGACAUCUGCCUUGUUGAGCUGUCCAGAGGAAUCCGUGAGAUAAGUCACGGAAGGUGCCUGGUACCCACAAACACUCAGAUGACAGCCACUGUUAGUACUGUUACAAUAACAGGCACGCGACAAGCACUGCCCUCCGUGACAAAGAACUCCUGAUGCCUGCGGAGUUUUCCAGCCUUCCCUCCUGUGGAAACACGCUGAUAAGGGCCAUCCCUCUGUCCCUCUUUGUGCUUCCUCCAAGGCCCAACAGGUGCUCAGGAAGCAUUUGAUGGAAUGACACAAUCAAACCAGGUAGGCAGCUGCCUAGGGGCUUGCUACUCCAAGCGUGGUCCAUGAACCAGCAGCAUCAGCAUCCUCUGGGAGCUUGUUAGAAGUGCAGCAUCUUAGGCCCCACCCAGACCUCCUGACUCACAGUGUGAACAGUAACAGAAGUCAGGUGAUUUGAGUACACAUAAGGUCCGGAAAGCACGGCCCCGCUCUGCCUUCUUAAAGCUGGCCAGGUCCUGGGCCUCACCUGGUGGUCAGUAUGAGAAGCCAGAGAGCCCAGCAGAGGCUCCUGUCCCAGAGGCCUGCACCUGGGGCUCUGGCAUCUCCACGGCCCCAAAGGCUUCUGCAGAGGCAGUUCAGGGAAGCUGGUUAGGGGCACGGCAUUUCUGAAGCCAGCCUCCCUGGGCUCAGCUGGGCCACUUCCUAGCUGUGAUCUUGGGUCUAGUUAACCUCUCUGUGCCUCUGUUUCUUCAUCUAUAAAAUGAGAUGACAUCAGUUACCUUGCAGAGUCACUGCUAGGAUCAAGUGAAUUAAUGCAGGUAACGUGUUCAGAAUGGUGCCUGGCACAGAGCAAUAACUCGGUAAGCCCCAGCUAUCAAUACUAAUAUCCUCAUUAUUAUCUGCUCCACCCACGGGAGGGCAAGGAGCUGGCUCUGGUUACAGGGGCUCCGAGAUUCAUGCUCCUUCUGGCUUCCCCUACCAGCUCAGGCACGUUCCUGCCUCAUGAUAAUAUAAAAGUUAUCACACCUCACGUGCACAGCGGGUAUCCUGGCAAGCAUCAACCAUAACUUCCAGACCCUCCCACAAGCAGGUGGGGCUCAUUUCCCAGGGGUGGGAGCUGAGGCCCAGAGAGCAGAAGCAUCUGCCACCUUGAGUCAGAGGAGAAGAUUGGGUGAAGCCAAAAAAAUGGGGAUAAUAGUCCCUCCCUCGUGGGGCUAUUAUAAACGUGUUGCAAGGAUCAAAUUGGCGUAUACAGCAAGUUCUACAGAAGUGUUGCUUUUUACCUUCAUAACUCCCAUUUCAUUCCCAAUCAAGGGGCUUUGUCUGCUGUCUUAGGAUUCAUAUCAGGGUAAGAUGCUUCCCCAGCCCAAAGGCAGAGAGAAUUCAAAAGCAUUAAAAAAAAAAAAAAGCCUUCAAAGCGAAGAGGCACUAAUGUCCGGGCACGGGGCAUCCAGACGGGGUGUGGAGGAGGCAUGAGGUCGGGGCAGGAGUGCUGCCCUCACACUUGAAACAUCUGGCAGGGAGUAGCUGAACAUCUGCCCUGUGGUGGGGGCAUCAGCAGUGGGGGCCAGGGCUUACUCCACAGAGCGUCCCCUCUCUUCCCCUCCAACUCACACACAGGCUUGUCACCAACACUUUGUAGUAGCCAUCAUCAUCCCUCACAUCUGUCUCUCGGAGAGGGAAGCUGAGGCCGACUGAAGCUCACUCCUUCCCAAGCCCCCCAGCUGUCUCAAACCCCACUAGCUGAUUCACUCUGCUGGGUGGAUUCCUGGGUCCCCCCCCUCCCUGGGCUGAAUCCCAGUGCUCCCAAGCUCGCCAAGUGGGCCCGGACCCUCCCUGACCGCACCAUUCCCAAGGCACCACAGCUGGUGGGAGGAGGGACAGGAAGUUAUCCCCCAGAGCCAGCAGCUGUGGCUUAGCCCCAAGUGAACUCUACCAGGGCCCAGGGCCC